Bubalus bubalis (water buffalo) is the source of this 768-nucleotide long non-coding RNA. RefSeq lists it as uncharacterized. NCBI's taxonomy places the organism in Eukaryota, Metazoa, Chordata, Mammalia, Artiodactyla, Bovidae. The record is from RefSeq and is a predicted model, not a curated record. The transcript has 2 exons.
CUCUUUGUUCCUGGAUCCAUGAGCUCCCUGGGCUCUAGGCCCACAGCUCAGCAUCUGCUCAAUUAUCUGAACCUGCCUCAACGGCUUUCUUGAGCUCCACCCAACACACCUGCCCUGAAUCAGCCUCUUCUCUGCAAUUCUACCCCCAGCUCCUUCCCUGGCUCUCAGCCUGUAUUCCACACCCUACUCCAGCCUAAGCCUGGCCUCUUCCCUUCUUCCCUUUGAUCCAUUUUUUUUCUGAUCAAGCAUCUUCUCCACAGAUUCCAGAUGGAGAAACAGACCUGGAGAAGGAAAAAGGAAAGACAUCAGCUCCCACCCCAAGUCCCUCUGGAGCCAAGGAGCAGCCAUCGCAGAGGGUUGAAGCUACAUUAUAAAGCUCCUAGGAUCAAACCUCACCCCAGAACUCUCCAGAGCCCACAUAGGUUCUACAGCAGCCAGUCCUGAUAUGCAGCCUCAUGACCACGAAGUGUUCCACCAAGUCCAUUUCACAGAUGAAGAAACUGAGGUGAUGAGAAAAAUGGAGUGAAUUGCCCCAGGUCACACAACUGAGCCUAGCUGCCAGCACAGGUCCGUGGGACUCUUUUCAAGGCUGGGGCUUGGGGGCCCGAGCUGUUUUGGAACAAUCAAUUACUGAAUUGAAGCAAUUGAGGGAGCCGAUUUGGCCGGGCUGCCUGGCUGGGCGGCUGCUCUCACCCCUGCUCUCUAGCCAGCUGAGGCAUUUCGUCAUUCACACUUUGAAGGCAGCCUAUUCUCACCAGCAGCUUCCAA